This 497-nucleotide ribosomal RNA is filed under the name uncultured bacterium. RNAcentral describes it as "partial 16S ribosomal RNA". It matches the Rfam family "Bacterial small subunit ribosomal RNA", at positions 28 to 507 of the family's 1533-position model. The record is from RNAcentral.
GAUGAACGCUGGCGGCGUGCCUAAUACAUGCAAGUAGAACGCUGAAGCUUGGUGCUUGCACCGAGCGGAUGAGUUGCGAACGGGUGAGUAACGCGUAGGUAACCUGCCUCUUAGCGGGGGAUAACUAUUGGAAACGAUAGCUAAUACCGCAUAAAAGUCGAUAUCGCAUGAUAUUGAUUUGAAAGGUGCAAAUGCAUCACUAAGAGAUGGACCUGCGUUGUAUUAGCUAGUUGGUGAGGUAACGGCUCACCAAGGCGACGAUACAUAGCCGACCUGAGAGGGUGAUCGGCCACCCUGGGACUGAGACACGGCCCAGACUCCUACGGGAGGCAGCAGUAGGGAAUCUUCGGCAAUGGGGGCAACCCUGACCGAGCAACGCCGCGUGAGUGAAGAAGGUUUUCGGAUCGUAAAGCUCUGUUGUAAGAGAAGAACGAGUGUGAGAGUGGAAAGUUCACACUGUGACGGUAACUUACCAGAAAGGGACGGCUAACUACGUG